Molecule: ribosomal RNA, 371 nt
Filed under: uncultured organism
Description: partial 16S ribosomal RNA
Rfam family: Bacterial small subunit ribosomal RNA
Source: RNAcentral
GGAGGGUGCAAGCGUUAAUCGGAAUUACUGGGCGUAAAGCGAGUGUAGGCGGCUUCAUAAGUCGGAUGUGAAAGCCCUGGGCUUAACCUGGGAAUGGCAUUCGAUACUGUGAAACUAGAGUCUGAUAGAGGGAAGUGGAAUUCCGGGUGUAGCGGUGAAAUGCGUAGAGAUCCGGAGGAACACCAGUGGCGAAGGCGGCUUCCUGGAUCGAGACUGACGCUGAGGCUCGAAAGCGUGGGGAGCAAACAGGAUUAGAUACCCUGGUAGUCCGCGCCCUAAACGAUGUCAACUAGACGUUGGGCUCAUUUCGGAGUCUAGUGUCGAAGCUAACGCGUUAAGUUGACCGCCUGGGGAGUACGGCCGCAAGGUUA